UUUGCCCUAACAAACUCUCGUGAGAAGGUGGAUGCUCAUGGUAAAGUUUUCAAGUGUAAGGUAUUUUUCUGUCAGAAUAUAUUUCAGAUAUUUUAAAUAAGCUAGUAUCAGUAAAGUCAUCUAAGGAUCGCAGAAAAUAAAACGCAGCUGAAUCCGCAAGGCGGAAAGUUUCACAUUUACAUCAAUAUUAUUGCAUAAGACUAACUGAUUAUAAUCAGCUAUUUAAAAUUAAUCUGAAGAUGGUUCGUUUCAAGCCUCCCAUAAUUCAUAAUAUCACCCAAAAAAAAACUCAAAGUAUUAUGAACUCUUUAGGCCUGACGGAGGCAUGGUGGGUGAAAGGAGCCCAAAUCACAAUUUUUAUGUCAUUUGUAAGUUUAUGCAGCGUGCAUAAAGAUAUAUAAAGAUUAGACGUAAAUUAGUAAUUUGUCUCGUGUUAUGAACAGUGCCGACAUUUCAAACGAGAAACGUUUUUAGAGACGGAGGGAGUAUAACUUAAGUUUGUAUUAAAAUAUUGAUUUGAGCUUGGACGUCCAAUUAGUGUGAACGAAACAUGGAGAUGCACAAUGAGACAAAUAAGUUUCUUAAGGUCACAUGAGAAGAAUAAGUUUUUUAAUAGUCAUUAGAAAUCAUGAUUCACUAAAUUGUCUUGUGUACUUUUUAUAAAGACUUUGGCCUUGAAAACUGAUGCAACUUUUUCUACUUAUUUUCUUCUUCCCAUGUGGUUGUGUUUGUUUUACAGCAACUGCAAGUUGAGCUGAGUUAAGAAAAAAUUUACUAAAAUAUAAUUCAGGCAGCUCCCAAUUCCCAUGUCUCCCUGGAACUGUGUAGAUCUACCGAGCCCGCCCCAUAAAGCGAUAAAGAAUGUACUUUUUGAGUUUAUUUUGGGCGGUUCGACUUGGUUUAAAAGAAGUUAGUUACUACUUAUAGGUAAGAAGUCACUUAUACUUGAAAAAUAAAUUUCUAUUUUUCUGUGUGGAUAAUUUUUUGAUAAUUCUUUACUAAUAGGUAUAGAGAUUAGUAUUAUAAUAAUAAAACUAGCGUAGAAGCAUGUGCAAGGCACGGCUACUGUUGUGUAGACUAAUAUGUGUUUGAAUAAAAGGUUGCAGGCUGCAACAGGCCUUGCCUUCAGAAAAUCCAAGGUGCUGUGCAACGCAACUCAGAAGCAAAUCCUGAUGCUCUUGCCUUUAGAAACAAUGAAGAGGGUUGUAGAACAAAACCAGAAAUUUCAAGUUUGUGCCCUUUCAUGGGUUGUUGAAGCUGAAAUGUCACUCCAUUGAAGUGACCGAGUACUCAUGCUUAUUAUUGAGCCCUGUAAGCUAGAGUCCUCUAGUGGCAAGCAAAACCAGGAUAUGUGUCUAUCACAAUCCUCUAAUGGUUGGCAAGCAGAACCAGGACUUUAGAGAAGUUGAAACAGUCUUCUAAUGACAAACAUAACAGUCUCUUCCAAUCUAUUUCUUCAAAUUCUUCUCCAUCUCUUAUCUUUCCUUCUCGCUUCUUCUUCUACCUUUACAACAGAUCAUCUUCCUUUUUACUAGCGUCUAAUCAUCAAUCCAUUAUCUUCAAGCUAAGAGUUCACAAAGUUCCCACUCUUUAGCUUGAGGGGGAGUGUUAAGGGAUAAGAUAAAAGGCUUUUAUGGUCUUUCUAUCCAGAACAUUUGUUUUUACUAGAAUUUAGUAUUGUUUGUAACCUUCUAUAUAUACUGGAGAUGUAAUAACUAUACGAAGACAAGUAAAAAGAAAUGUAGUCAAUUAAUUU
RNAcentral lists this long non-coding RNA (1756 nucleotides) under Daucus carota (carrot). RNAcentral describes it as "long non-coding RNA (DCAR_LNC005917)". The record is from RNAcentral. Lineage: Eukaryota; Viridiplantae; Streptophyta; Magnoliopsida; Apiales; Apiaceae.